GGCCUUAAGGUGAUAAGCACAUCGAACUGCAAAUUCGAAGGCGUAGAGGAUUAGCUCUACUAAGGCUU
This 68-nucleotide transfer RNA is filed under the name Bramus fuscocapillus (southern mole vole). Its description in RNAcentral is "tRNA-Cys". Lineage: Eukaryota; Metazoa; Chordata; Mammalia; Rodentia; Cricetidae. The record is from RNAcentral.